GGCUACCGCUAUUGGAGUUCGAUUAAGCCAUGCGAGUCGAGAGUCUUAGGGACUCGGCGUACCGCUCAGUAACACGUGGGUAACCUGCCCUAUGCUGGGGAAUAACCUCGGGAAACUGAGAAUAAUGCCCCAUAGUCCACCAUGCCUGGAACGGUUGGUGGAUUAAAGCUCCGGCGGCAUAGGAUGGGCCUGCGGCGUAUCAGGUCGUAGGGGGUGUAACGUACCCUCUAGCCAUCGACGCGUACGGGUGUUGGGAGACAUAGCCCGGAGAUGGAUUCUGAGACACGAAUCCAGACCCUACGGGGUGCAGCAGGCGCGAAAACUUGGCAAUGCGAGAAAUCGUGACCAGGGAACUCCAAGUGGCUGGGGUAAGACCCAGUCUUUUCUUGACUCUUCAAAGGUCUUGGAAUAAGGGGUGGGUAAGGACGGUGCCAGCCGCCGCGGUAAUACCGGCGCCUCAAGUGGUAGUCGAUUUUAUUGGGCCUAAAACGUCCGUCGCCUGCUUGGUACAUUCGUGGGUAAAUCAACCAGCUCAACUGGUUGAAUUCUGCGAGCACGGCCAGACUUGGGACCGGGAGAGGUGUGGGGUACGCUCAGGGUAGGGGUAAAAUCCUGUCAUCCUGAGCGGACCACCUGUUGCGAAGGCUCCACACUAGAACGGAUCCGACGGUCAGGGACGAAGCCUAGGGGCACGAACCGGAUUAGAUACCCGGGUAGUCCUAGGUGUAAACGCUGUGGACUUGGUGUUGGGAAGGUUCCGAGCCUUCUCAGUGCCGAAGCGAAGGUGAUAAGUCCACUGCCUGGGGAGUACGGUCGCAAGGCUGAAACUUAAAGGAAUUGGCGGGGGAGCACCGCAACCUGAGGAUUGUGCGGUUU
This 876-nucleotide ribosomal RNA is filed under the name uncultured archaeon. RNAcentral's name for it is "bacterial SSU rRNA". It matches the Rfam family "Archaeal small subunit ribosomal RNA", at positions 22 to 903 of the family's 1478-position model. The record is from RNAcentral.